RNAcentral lists this ribosomal RNA (507 nucleotides) under Micromonospora sp. SCAU5125. Its description in RNAcentral is "bacterial SSU rRNA". It matches the Rfam family "Bacterial small subunit ribosomal RNA", at positions 116 to 638 of the family's 1533-position model. Lineage: Bacteria; Bacillati; Actinomycetota; Actinomycetes; Micromonosporales; Micromonosporaceae. The record is from RNAcentral.
CGUGAGCAACCUGCCCUAGGCUUUGGGAUAACCCCGGGAAACCGGGGCUAAUACCGAAUAGGACCUCUGACCGCAUGGUUGGUGGUGGAAAGUUUUUCGGCCUGGGAUGGGCUCGCGGCCUAUCAGCUUGUUGGUGGGGUGAUGGCCUACCAAGGCGACGACGGGUAGCCGGCCUGAGAGGGCGACCGGCCACACUGGGACUGAGACACGGCCCAGACUCCUACGGGAGGCAGCAGUGGGGAAUAUUGCACAAUGGGCGGAAGCCUGAUGCAGCGACGCCGCGUGAGGGAUGACGGCCUUCGGGUUGUAAACCUCUUUCAGCAGGGACGAAGCGUAAGUGACGGUACCUGCAGAAGAAGCACCGGCCAACUACGUGCCAGCAGCCGCGGUAAGACGUAGGGUGCGAGCGUUGUCCGGAUUUAUUGGGCGUAAAGAGCUCGUAGGCGGCUUGUCGCGUCGACUGUGAAAACCCGCAGCUCAACUGCGGGCCUGCAGUCGAUACGGGCA